UACGUAGGGAGCAAGCGUUGUCCGGAAUCAUUGGGCGUAAAGCGCGCGUAGGUGGCUUCGUAAGUCCGGUGUGAAAGUCAAAGGCUCAACCUUUGAAUGCCGAUGGAUACUGCGGAGCUAGAGUACGGAAGAGGCGAGUGGAAUUCCUGGUGUAGCGGUGGAAUGCGCAGAUAUCAGGAGGAACACCAAUAGCGAAGGCAGCUCGCUGGGACGUUACUGACACUAAGGCGCGAAAGCGUGGGGAGCAAACAGG
RNAcentral lists this ribosomal RNA (253 nucleotides) under uncultured bacterium. Its description in RNAcentral is "partial 16S ribosomal RNA". It matches the Rfam family "Bacterial small subunit ribosomal RNA", at positions 524 to 776 of the family's 1533-position model. The record is from RNAcentral.